Molecule: ribosomal RNA, 2892 nt
Filed under: Legionella adelaidensis
Lineage: Bacteria; Pseudomonadati; Pseudomonadota; Gammaproteobacteria; Legionellales; Legionellaceae
Description: 23S ribosomal RNA
Rfam family: Bacterial large subunit ribosomal RNA
Source: RNAcentral
UCAAGAAGAGAAGCGCAAACGGUGGAUGCCUAGGCAGUAAGAGGCGAAGAAGGACGUGGAAUCCUGCGAAAAGCUCUGGGGAGUUGGAAACAAGCGUUAAUCCAGAGAUGUCCGAAUGGGGGAACCCGGCACUAGUGAUAGUGUCACUAUUACAUGAAUACAUAGUGUAAUAGGGCGAACUUGGGGAACUGAAACAUCUAAGUACCCAAAGGAAAAGAAAUCAAUUGAGAUUCUCUUAGUAGCGGCGAGCGAACGGGGAAGAGCCUGGUGUGAUUUAUGUUGUAGAGGAGUAGAAGCAUCUGGGAAGGUGCACCGUAGGGGGUAAUAGUCCCGUAUACGCAGGCUACGACAGGAACUAAGCACACGAACAAGUAGGUCGGGACACGUGAAAUCCUGAUUGAAGAUGGGUGGCCCAUCAUCCAAGGCUAAAUACUCCUUACUGACCGAUAGCGAACCAGUACCGUGAGGGAAAGGUGAAAAGAACCCCGGAGAGGGGAGUGAAAUAGAACCUGAAACCGUUUGCGUACAAGCAGUGGGAGCACGACUUUGGUUGUGUGACUGCGUACCUUUUGUAUAAUGGGUCAGCGAGUUACUUUCAGUGGCGAGGUUAACUGAAUAAGGAAGCCGUAGAGAAAUCGAGUCUGAAAAGGGCGCGAGUCGCUGGGAGUAGACCCGAAACCGGGCGAUCUAGCCAUGUCCAGGAUGAAGGUUGGGUAACACCAACUGGAGGUCCGAACCGGGUAAUGUUGAAAAAUUAUCGGAUGAGGUGUGGCUAGGAGUGAAAGGCUAAUCAAGCUCGGAGAUAGCUGGUUCUCCCCGAAAGCUAUUUAGGUAGCGCCUCGUGAAUGAUUACUGGGGGUAGAGCACUGUUUCGGCUAGGGGGCUGUCAUGGCUUACCAAACCGAUGCAAACUCCGAAUACCGGCUAAUUGAAUCACGGGAGACACACGGCGGGUGCUAACGUCCGUCGUGAAGAGGGAAACAACCCAGACCGCCAGCUAAGGUCCCGAAGUACUAGUUAAGUGGGAAACGAUGUGGGAAGGCAUAGACAGCCAGGAGGUUGGCUUAGAAGCAGCCACCCUUUAAAGAAAGCGUAAUAGCUCACUGGUCGAGUCGGCCUGCGCGGAAGAUGUAACGGGGCUAAAACUAGUCACCGAAGCUGCGGAUGUGUGCGAGUCACACGUGGUAGGGGAGCGUUCUGUAGGUCUGCGAAGGUGCAUUGAGAAGUGUGCUGGAGAUAUCAGAAGUGCGAAUGCUGACAUGAGUAACGAUAAAGAAGGUGAAAAACCUUCUCGCCGGAAGUCUAAGGUUUCCUGCACGACGUUAAUCGGAGCAGGGUGAGUCGGUCCCUAAGGCGAGGCUGAAGAGCGUAGUCGAUGGGAACCAGGUUAAUAUUCCUGGACUUUCUAUAAGUGCGAAGGGGGGACGGAGAAGGCUAGAUGAGCCAGGCGAUGGUAGUCCUGGUGCUUGCAUGUAGGUGGGUAGACCAGGCAAAUCCGGUUUACUAAUAACACUGAGGUGCGAAGCGGUUCUGACCCUACGGGGUGCGGAGAAGUCAUUAAUGCCCGGCUUCCAGGAAAAGCCUCUAAGCGACAGCUUAUAGAGAACCGUACCGUAAACCGACACAGGUGGACAAGUAGAGAAUACUAAGGCGCAUGAGAGAACUCGGGUGAAGGAACUAGGCAAAAUGGUACCGUAACUUCGGGAGAAGGUACGCCCUUGUUGGUGAGAUACUUGCGUAUGGAGCUGAUGAGGGCCGCAGAGACCAGGUGGCUGCGACUGUUUAUUAAAAACACAGCACUCUGCAAAUUCGUAAGAAGACGUAUAGGGUGUGACGCCUGCCCGGUGCCGGAAGGUUAAUUGAUGGGGUUAUCUUCGGAGAAGCUCCUGAUCGAAGCCCCGGUAAACGGCGGCCGUAACUAUAACGGUCCUAAGGUAGCGAAAUUCCUUGUCGGGUAAGUUCCGACCUGCACGAAUGGCGUAACGAUGGCCACACUGUCUCCACCCGAGACUCAGUGAAAUUGAAAUUGCGGUGAAGAUGCCGUAUACCCGCGGCUAGACGGAAAGACCCCGUGAACCUUUACUACAGCUUUGCACGGGACUUUGACAAUAACUGUGUAGGAUAGGUGGGAGGCUAAGAAGUCAGGACGCUAGUUCUGAUGGAGCCGACCUUGAAAUACCACCCUGUUGUUGUUGAGGUUCUAACUUGGACCAGUAAUCCUGGUUGAGGACAGUGUAUGGUGGGUAGUUUGACUGGGGCGGUCUCCUCCCAAAGAGUAACGGAGGAGCACAAAGGUACCCUCGGUACGGUCGGACAUCGUACCAAGAGUGUAAAGGCAAAAGGGUGCUUGACUGCGAGAGUGACGGCUCGAGCAGGUACGAAAGUAGGUCUUAGUGAUCCGGUGGUUCUGAAUGGAAGGGCCAUCGCUCAACGGAUAAAAGGUACUCCGGGGAUAACAGGCUGAUACCGCCCAAGAGUUCAUAUCGACGGCGGUGUUUGGCACCUCGAUGUCGGCUCAUCACAUCCUGGGGCUGUAGCAGGUCCCAAGGGUAUGGCUGUUCGCCAUUUAAAGUGGUACGCGAGCUGGGUUUAGAACGUCGUGAGACAGUUCGGUCCCUAUCUGCCGUGGGCGUAGGAAAAUUGAGAGGAGCUGCUCCUAGUACGAGAGGACCGGAGUGGACGAACCUCUGGUGUACCGGUUGUGACGCCAGUUGCAUUGCCGGGUAGCUAAGUUCGGACGGGAUAACCGCUGAAAGCAUCUAAGCGGGAAGCCUCCCUCGAGAUGAGUUUUCCCAUGAAGCCCGUUGAAGACGACGACGUUGAUAGGCGAGGUGUGGAAGCGCAGUAAUGUGUGAAGCUAACUCGUACUAAUUGGCUGAUUGUCUUGACCAU